AUGAUGCAUCCUCACACACUACACAAUACAUACUACACAAUACAUACUACACAAUACACAAUACAUACUACACAAUACAUACUACACAAUACACAAUACAUACUACACAAUACAUACUACAUACUACACAAUACAUACUACACACCACAUACUACACACUACAUACUACACACUACAUACUACACAAUACAUACUACACAAUACAUACUCCACAAUACAUACUACACAAUACACAAUACAUACUACACAAUACACAAUACAUACUACACAAUACAUACUACACAAUACAUACUACACACUACACGAUACAUACUCCACAAUACAUACUACACAAUACAUACUACACAAUACAUACUACAUACUACACAAUACAUACUACACACUACAUACUCCACAAUACAUACUACACAAUACAUACUACACACUACACAAUACAAACUACACAAUACAUACUACACAAUACACAAUACAUACUACACAAUACAUACUACACAAUACACAAUACACACUACACAAUACAUACUACACAAUACAUACUACACACUACACAAUACAUACUACACAAUACAUACUACACAAUACAUACUACACAAUACAUACUACACAAUACAUACUACACAAUACAUACUACACACUACACAAUACAUACUACACAAUACAUACUACACACCACAUACUACACAAUACAUACUACAUACUACACAAUACAUACUACACACUACAUACUACACAGUACAUAAUACUACACACUACACACUACAUACUACACAAUACAUACUACACACUACACAAUACAUACUACACAAUACAUACUACAUACUACACAAUACAUACUACACACCACAUACUACACAAUACAUACUACAUACUACACAAUACAUACUACACACUACAUACUACACAGUACAUAAUACUACACACUACACACUACAUACUACACAAUACAUACUACACAAUACAUACUACACAAUACAUACUACAUACUACAUACUACAUACCAGGGGAGGACGGCUCAUAAAUGGACUGGCAUCCAACCAUGUCUCCCCAGUUAUGGUGCCACCAACCUCCUGUGCUACACAUUUCAUACUACACACUACACACUACAUAUAG
This 1110-nucleotide long non-coding RNA is filed under the name Oncorhynchus mykiss (rainbow trout). RNAcentral's name for it is "lncRNA (ENSOMYG00000067304.1)". Lineage: Eukaryota; Metazoa; Chordata; Actinopteri; Salmoniformes; Salmonidae. The record is from RNAcentral.